This 369-nucleotide ribosomal RNA is filed under the name uncultured bacterium. RNAcentral's name for it is "partial 16S ribosomal RNA". It matches the Rfam family "Bacterial small subunit ribosomal RNA", at positions 338 to 705 of the family's 1533-position model. The record is from RNAcentral.
CCUACGGGCGGCAGCAGUGAGGAAUAUUGGUCAAUGGCCGAGAGGCUGAUCCAGCCAAGUCGCGUGAGGGAAGAAUGUCCUAUGGAUUGUAAACCUCUUUUGUCAGGGAGCAAAGUCACCCACGUGUGGGUGUUGGAGAGUACCUGAAGAAAAAGCAUCGGCUAACUCCGUGCCAGCAGCCGCGGUAAUACGGAGGAUGCGAGCGUUAUCCGGAUUUAUUGGGUUUAAAGGGUGCGUAGGCGGGUUAUAAAGUCAGCGGUAAAAUCGUGGAGCUAAACUCCAUCCAGCCGUUGAAACUGAUGGUGUGGAGUGGGCGAGAGUGAGGUGGAAUGCGUGGUGGAGCGGUGAACUGCAUAGAGAUCAUGCAGA